Molecule: ribosomal RNA, 407 nt
Filed under: uncultured bacterium
Lineage: Bacteria
Description: partial 16S ribosomal RNA
Rfam family: Bacterial small subunit ribosomal RNA
Source: RNAcentral
AUUGAACGCUGGCGGCAGGCCUAACACAUGCAAGUCGAGCGGAGCGGCGGACGGGCGGGUAAUGCCUAGGAAUCUGCCUGGCAGAUGGGGAUAACGUCCGGAAACGGGCGCUAAUACCUCAUACAUUCAGACGAGCCUAGGUGGGAUUAGCUAGUUGGUGGGGUAAAGGCCUACCAAGGUGACCAUCCGUAACUGGUCUGAGAGGAUGACCAGUCACACUGGAACUGAGACACGGUCCAGACUCCGACGGUAGGCAGCAGUGGGGAAUAUUGGACAAUUGGCGAAAGCCUGAUCCAGCCAUGCCGCGUGUGUGAAGAAGGUCUUCGGGUUGUAAAGCACUUUAAGUUGGGAGGCGUUACCAACAGAAUAAGCACCGGCUAACUUCGUGCCAGCAGCCGCGGUAAUUC